Molecule: long non-coding RNA, 1754 nt
Filed under: Vigna radiata
Lineage: Eukaryota; Viridiplantae; Streptophyta; Magnoliopsida; Fabales; Fabaceae
Description: long non-coding RNA (VRAD_LNC012976)
Source: RNAcentral
GAUGAAAGGGAGAGAUGGAAUCAAUGGACAGGGAUUGGUGAGGGAGAAGGUGAGAAAGGAGGAACGUUGAUGAGGUGGAAACAAAAAGAGUGGGUCCCAGUUUCUUAAAAGUUCACUUUACACGCAACCCUCCCUGCGAGGGUUGCAGCGUAUAGUUCGGUCCAUGUGUGGUGGUCUGGAUGGGAAAAGACGAAAAUGGGGUUAAUGAAGAAUGGAGUGGGAAGGGCAAAUCGGGAAAGAAAGUGAGGGAGAAGGAGUUGUCGCAGUCAGAAAAAGGGGUUAGUGCAGUGGAGUGCAGAGAGAAGGGACGAGUGAGGGAGCAAAGCGUGACAGAGUGGUACGUAUAAACAUUGCCCUGGUUGUACUAAUGUACUCUUUUUUUCUAUAUUGUUAUAAUUAUUUUUUAUAUAUUAGAUGAAUUAUUAGAAGGCAUGGUUAACAGUGAAAUGAAAAAAGGACAAAAAAAUAAUUAAUGUUAAGAUUGAGGGAGAUCUGCAUGAUGAAAUUGGAAAUGAGAAAUGAAAAAUGAGAAAGAGAAUGAAAGAGAGAGUUGAGUUGGAUGGGAGGGAGAAGAGGCCAUACUGAGAUACUGAUACUGAUACUGUGUACUGAACGCCUAAAAGCAAUGUAUGAGAGCCAUAAGUGGAUGGGCCUCAUGUGCCCUUUCACUCUCUCAGUCGCAUCACCAGACAGUAUCAAGCCACACGACCCCCACGUGUCAGACAUCCUAACCUGAUUUUUUACUGCUCCCACGUUAAUUUGUCGUCCCAGGAUGUCUCUUCUUCACGCGCUUUCUUCUUUUCUUUUCCCUCACCGCCCAACCCAACACGACAUUCACACUCCCUCAACAACACACCAACAUUAAACACCUCUUCAAUGGAUUCUCUCUUCUUUUUAUUUCAAUUUCUUAUUAUGUGUGUGACUAAACAGUGAGUUGGAGAAGACAGCAGUAAACAGUGUGUGUGUGUCCAAUCUAGUAGCAACUUACAAACACUAUCAAAAUAUAUAUAACACAUCAAACAUGAUUUAGACAAGGGGUAUGCUUAGAUUUCUGUAAGAUCUUCUGUCCAUCAACAAAGGAAUGAAUAACUUUUUUUAAGAUACACUUAAACCUAGCAUAUUAAAAUACAAUUUAAUUAUUAAAAGAAGUAUUUUUAUUUUUAAUAUUAUUUUAUUCUCACUAAAAUAAGGUAUAAAAUUCAAUAAAUUAUGGGACAAUUAUUUUAUUCAAGUGUAGGUAGCCUAAUCCAUAAAAACUCCAUGGUUAAGCGUGUUUAGCCUGAAGAAAUUAUGGGAUGAGUGACCUUUCGAAAAUUUUUUGGAAAGUGUACAAGUGAGGACAAAAAAUCGGAGAAUUCAAUUAAGGAAAUACCAUUUUCAAAUUGUAUCAUCAAUUCUAUUAUCAAAAAUUUUAGAAAAAAAAAAUGAAUGAUAAAGAAACGAAACACGGGCAAGAAAGGGGAGUAGAGACCACUCAAUAAAUGAAAUAGUAAAGGCUUGGUUUUCUUUUUAGUUUUUUUAGAAUUCUUCAAAUUGAGUUAUAGAGGUAAAAAUAGAAAGAGUUUUAUUUUCAGAAAGAAAAUACGAAAGAAAAAUACUUAAGUCAUUGUUUAAUGGAUUUGAUGAUUUUAUUGCUCUAUUUUACAUCAUAAUUUUCGAAAUACAUAACAAUACACUGGAAAGCCUCGUGGUGAUGUGGGGGACAGUCAACAAUCCCUGUAAGUUACCGGAACUUUACAUUAAGACAACUUGCU